GACACUGAACAUUGAGCCUUGAUGUGUAGGAUAGGUGGGAGGCUUUGAAGUGUGGACGCCAGUCUGCAUGGAGCCGACCUUGAAAUACCACCCUUUAAUGUUUGAUGUUCUAACGUUGACCCGUAAUCCGGGUUGCGGACAGUGUCUGGUGGGUAGUUUGACUGGGGCGGUCUCCUCCUAAAGAGUAACGGAGGAGCACGAAGGUUGGCUAAUCCUGGUCGGACAUCAGGAGGUUAGUGCAAUGGCAUAAGCCAGCUUGACUGCGAGCGUGACGGCGCGAGCAGGUGCGAAAGCAGGUCAUAGUGAUCCGGUGGUUCUGAAUGGAAGGGCCAUCGCUCAACGGAUAAAAGGUACUCCGGGGAUAACAGGCUGAUACCGCCCAAGAGUUCAUAUCGACGGCGGUGUUUGGCACCUCGAUGUCGGCUCAUCACAUCCUGGGGCUGAAGUAGGUCCCAAGGGUAUGGCUGUUCGCCAUUUAAAGUGGUACGCGAGCUGGGUUUAGAACGUCGUGAGACAGUUCGGUCCCUAUCUGCCGUGGGCGCUGGAGAACUGAGGGGGGCUGCUCCUAGUACGAGAGGACCGGAGUGGACGCAUCACUGGUGUUCGGGUUGUCAUGCCAAUGGCACUGCCCGGUAGCUAAAUGCGGAAGAGAUAAGUGCUGAAAGCAUCUAAGCACGAAACUUGCCCCGAGAUGAGUUCUCCCUGACUCCUUGAGAGUCCUGAAGGAACGUUGAAGACGACGACGUUGAUAGGCCGGGUGUGUAAGCGCAGCGAUGCGUUGAGCUAACCGGUACUAAUGAACCGUGAGG
This 809-nucleotide ribosomal RNA is filed under the name Escherichia coli. RNAcentral describes it as "partial 23S ribosomal RNA". It matches the Rfam family "Bacterial large subunit ribosomal RNA", at positions 2113 to 2916 of the family's 2925-position model. Lineage: Bacteria; Pseudomonadati; Pseudomonadota; Gammaproteobacteria; Enterobacterales; Enterobacteriaceae. The record is from RNAcentral.